AAGUCGUAACAAGGUUUCCGUAGGUGAACCUGCGGAAGGAUCAUUAACACGUAUCCACGUAUCUACCUCUUGCGAACUUGUUUUGUUUUGUAGUCGUGCUCAGGUAUUUUAUCAAGGAAGUAGAUGGCCAUGUCAGGAGAAAAAAUUCAUUUUUUUUUUCUUGUUCUACUUGCCUUCCACCCAAUGUUUUGAGUGCUGGUGUAUUGAGAUCCUGUGAUGCCUUUUGUGGGCGUCCACAGUUUCCUACUAGCAGAACGCUCCUUGGGAUGGGUAUCUGGCGUGACUCGAAUCAUGGUGGUUAUUCACUAUUAACCCCUUUUUUUUUAAAAUUUUUGUCUCAGUGUGAGUGGGUGGUGCCGCUUUGCGGUGCGCCCUCCUCAUCAAAAAAAAAUAACAAAGAUACAACUCUUAGCAACGGAUAUCUAGGUUCU
Molecule: unclassified non-coding RNA, 431 nt
Filed under: fungal sp.
Lineage: Eukaryota; Fungi
Description: partial internal transcribed spacer region
Rfam family: Eukaryotic small subunit ribosomal RNA (bases 1-46)
Source: RNAcentral